Molecule: ribosomal RNA, 513 nt
Filed under: Escherichia coli
Lineage: Bacteria; Pseudomonadati; Pseudomonadota; Gammaproteobacteria; Enterobacterales; Enterobacteriaceae
Description: bacterial SSU rRNA
Rfam family: Bacterial small subunit ribosomal RNA
Source: RNAcentral
CCGCGGUAAUACGGAGGGUGCAAGCGUUAAUCGGAAUUACUGGGCGUAAAGCGCACGCAGGCGGUUUGUUAAGUCAGAUGUGAAAUCCCCGGGCUCAACCUGGGAACUGCAUCUGAUACUGGCAAGCUUGAGUCUCGUAGAGGGGGGUAGAAUUCCAGGUGUAGCGGUGAAAUGCGUAGAGAUCUGGAGGAAUACCGGUGGCGAAGGCGGCCCCCUGGACGAAGACUGACGCUCAGGUGCGAAAGCGUGGGGAGCAAACAGGAUUAGAUACCCUGGUAGUCCACGCCGUAAACGAUGUCGACUUGGAGGUUGUGCCCUUGAGGCGUGGCUUCCGGAGCUAACGCGUUAAGUCGACCGCCUGGGGAGUACGGCCGCAAGGUUAAAACUCAAAUGAAUUGACGGGGGCCCGCACAAGCGGUGGAGCAUGUGGUUUAAUUCGAUGCAACGCGAAGAACCUUACCUGGUCUUGACAUCCACAGAACUUUCCAGAGAUGGAUUGGUGCCUUCGGGAAC